UUAAAAAGCUCGUAGUUGAAUUUCGGGAUUAGUACGUUGGUCGUGCCUUAGGUACGUACUGGUGUUACUGAUUCCUACCUUCUGACGAACCAUCAUGUCAUUAAUUUGGUGUGGCGGGGAAUCAGGACUGUUACUUUGAAAAAAUUAGAGUGUUUAAAGCAGGCUCGCGCUUGAAUACAUUAGCAUGGAAUAAUGAAAUAGGACGUUGACCCUAUUUUGUUGGUUUCUAGGAUUGACGUAAUGAUUAAUAGGGAUAGUUGGGGG
RNAcentral lists this ribosomal RNA (264 nucleotides) under uncultured Glomus. RNAcentral's name for it is "partial 18S ribosomal RNA". It matches the Rfam family "Eukaryotic small subunit ribosomal RNA", at positions 619 to 888 of the family's 1831-position model. The record is from RNAcentral. Lineage: Eukaryota; Fungi; Glomeromycota; Glomeromycetes; Glomerales; Glomeraceae.